GAUGAACGCUAGCGGCAGGCCUAAUACAUGCAAGUCGAACGGGUGGUCGCAAGACCACUAGUGGCGCACGGGUGCGUAACGCGUAACCAACCUGCCCCGAUCUGGGGGAUAGCCCGCCGAAAGGCGGAUUAAUACCGCAUAUACCCGCAGCCUGGCAUCAGGCAACGGGGAAAGAUUUAUUGGAUCGGGAUGGGGUUGCGUGACUUUAGCUAGUUGGCGGGGUAAGGGCCCACCAAGGCGACGAUGUCUAGGGGACCUGAGAGGGUGAUCCCCCACACUGGCACUGAGAUACGGGCCAGACUCCUACGGGAGGCAGCAGUAGGGAAUAUUGGGCAAUGGGCGAGAGCCUGACCCAGCCAUGCCGCGUGCCGGAUGAAGGCCUUCUGGGUUGUAAACGGCUUUUCUCAGGGAAGAAAAAGACCUUGCGAGGUACACUGACGGUACCUGAGGAAUAAGCACCGGCUAACUCCGUG
RNAcentral lists this ribosomal RNA (473 nucleotides) under uncultured bacterium. RNAcentral's name for it is "partial 16S ribosomal RNA". It matches the Rfam family "Bacterial small subunit ribosomal RNA", at positions 28 to 507 of the family's 1533-position model. The record is from RNAcentral.